UUUCCGUAGGUGAACCUGCGGAAGGAUCAUUCAUAAUAAAGUGUUUUAUGGCACUUUUUAAAAAUCCAUAUCCACCUUGUGUGCAAUGUUAGAUCUCGUCAAUCUUGGCGAGAUUUUUAUACAUCAACUCAUUCUUUAACUAAUUUGUCUGAAAAAUAUUAUGAAUACUUAAUCCAAAAUACAACUUUCAACAACGGAUCUCUUGGCUCUC
Molecule: unclassified non-coding RNA, 211 nt
Filed under: plant metagenome
Description: partial contains small subunit ribosomal RNA, internal transcribed spacer 1, and 5.8S ribosomal RNA
Source: RNAcentral